Molecule: transfer RNA, 75 nt
Filed under: Clostridia bacterium
Lineage: Bacteria; Bacillati; Bacillota; Clostridia
Description: tRNA-Asn
Rfam family: tRNA
About the family: Transfer RNA (tRNA) molecules are approximately 80 nucleotides in length. Their secondary structure includes four short double-helical elements and three loops (D, anti-codon, and T loops). Further hydrogen bonds mediate the characteristic L-shaped molecular structure. tRNAs have two regions of fundamental functional importance: the anti-codon, which is responsible for specific mRNA codon recognition, and the 3' end, to which the tRNAs corresponding amino acid is attached (by aminoacyl-tRNA synthetases). tRNAs cope with the degeneracy of the genetic code in two manners: having more than one tRNA (with a specific anti-codon) for a particular amino acid; and 'wobble' base-pairing, i.e. permitting non-standard base-pairing at the 3rd anti-codon position.
Source: RNAcentral
UCCUCAGUAGCUCAAUGGUAGAGCAUUCGGCUGUUAACCGAAGGGUUACAGGUUCGAGCCCUGUCUGGGGAGCCA